UUCACUUCCAUUUUUGCCUUACUUUCAGGGAUGUUACAGUGCAGACAAAGAUUCUGGUGCCUCACAAGAUUUGACACAAGCCAGCGCUUUGUUGUUUUUCUCACCUGUUGGCCAGAAGAUUAUCUUGGAGCAGGAAAAGCCAAGUGGAAGAAGCCAAGUGAAGGGCUAUGGGGACCUAGAAGAUGGAGUCGUCACACAGUGGAAGAAUUGCAGAUCUCUGAGUCACCAUUUGGACAAGAACCUACUAGAACAGGUGCCUGAACAAGAACACUGGACUUUGUGUGAGUGAGAAACAAACUUUUAUUGUGUUAAGCCACCGAGAUUUUGGGUUGGUUUUUAUAGUAGCUGGUGUUGCUUACACUGACUAAUACAUCUUGAAAGUAAAUGAUGCAAAACAAUUCUACUUAUUCACAGGGGGUGGUAUUUAUAAGGGAAAAGAAUAACAGGGUGGUGUCAGUGAUGGGUCCUGAUAAGUAAGCAACAACAAGGAAGGGGCCCCAGGUAGGGAAGAACAAUUGUUCUGAGAGACUGUUAAUCACAAACAACCUGCUAGCCCCACAUCCUGUUCUCAAAUACUUUGCUCAGCAUGUAGCCCCAGCAGCAUGACUUUGUCUGCAUGUAGACCCUCCAGCAUGACCCUAUAAAAUUUCCCUCCAGCCACUGCCUCUUGGCAGACAGUCCCUUCUCUGCUGUGCUGCCCACUGCUUUCUUACAACGUUAUCUUUGUACUUUCUCUAAUAAAUCUGCCUUUCUUUA
RNAcentral lists this long non-coding RNA (756 nucleotides) under Homo sapiens (human). RNAcentral describes it as "HSALNT0181195". The record is from RNAcentral. Lineage: Eukaryota; Metazoa; Chordata; Mammalia; Primates; Hominidae.